Molecule: unclassified non-coding RNA, 86 nt
Filed under: Pseudomonas poae
Lineage: Bacteria; Pseudomonadati; Pseudomonadota; Gammaproteobacteria; Pseudomonadales; Pseudomonadaceae
Source: RNAcentral
UGGGAAGGGGGCUUGCUCCCGAUGACGGUGGGUCAGUCAGCUUGUUGCCGCUGAUCCACUGCAAUCGGGAGCUAGCCCCUCCCACA